RNAcentral lists this ribosomal RNA (292 nucleotides) under uncultured bacterium. RNAcentral's name for it is "partial 16S ribosomal RNA". It matches the Rfam family "Bacterial small subunit ribosomal RNA", at positions 505 to 796 of the family's 1533-position model. The record is from RNAcentral.
GUGCCAGCCGCCGCGGUAAUACAGAGGGUGCAAGCGUUGUUCGGAAUUAUUGGGCGUAAAGCGCGUGUAGGCGGCUUUGUGUGUCGGGUGUGAAAGCCCUCGGCUUAACCGAGGAAGUGCGCCCGAAACUGCAGAGCUUGAGUGUCGGAGAGGAUCGCGGAAUUCCCGGUGUAGAGGUGAAAUUCGUAGAUAUCGGGAGGAACACCAGUGGCGAAGGCGGCGAUCUGGACGAUAACUGACGCUGAGACGCGAAAGCGUGGGGAGCAAACAGGAUUAGAAACCCUAGUAGUCC